GUGGGGAAUAUUGGACAAUGGGCGCAAGCCUGAUCCAGCCAUGCCGCGUGAGUGAUGAAGGCCUUAGGGUUGUAAAGCUCUUUCAGUAGGGAAGAUAAUGACGGUACCUACAGAAGAAGCCCCGGCUAACUUCGUGCCAGCAGCCGCGGUAAUACGAAGGGGGCUAGCGUUGUUCGGAUUUACUGGGCGUAAAGCGCACGUAGGCGGAUUGGUCAGUUAGAGGUGAAAUCCCGAAGCUCAACUUCGGAACUGCCUUUAAUACUGCCAGUCUCGAGUCCGGAAGAGGUGAGUGGAACUCCUAGUGUAGAGGUGGAAUUCGUAGAUAUUAGGAAGAACACCAGUGGCGAAGGCGGCUCACUGGUCCGGUACUGGCGCUGAGGUGCGAAAGCGUGGGGAGCAAACAGGAUUAGAAACCCUAGUAGUCC
RNAcentral lists this ribosomal RNA (425 nucleotides) under uncultured bacterium. RNAcentral's name for it is "partial 16S ribosomal RNA". It matches the Rfam family "Bacterial small subunit ribosomal RNA", at positions 354 to 796 of the family's 1533-position model. The record is from RNAcentral.